AUUGAACGCUGGCGGCAGGCCUAACACAUGCAAGUCGAGCGGAUGAAGGGAGCUUGCUCCUGGAUUCAGCGGCGGACGGGUGAGUAAUGCCUAGGAAUCUGCCUGGUAGUGGGGGAUAACGUCCGGAAACGGGCGCUAAUACCGCAUACGUCCUGAGGGAGAAAGUGGGGGAUCUUCGGACCUCACGCUAUCAGAUGAGCCUAGGUCGGAUUAGCUAGUUGGUGGGGUAAAGGCCUACCAAGGCGACGAUCCGUAACUGGUCUGAGAGGAUGAUCAGUCACACCGGAACUGAGACACGGUCCAGACUCCUACGGGAGGUAGCAGUGGGGAAUAUUGGACAAAGGGCGAAAGCCUGAUCCAGCCAUGCCGCGUGUGUGAAGAAGGUCUUCGGAUUGUAAAGCACUUUAAGUUGGGAGGAAGGGCAGUAAGUUAAUACCUUGCUGUUUUGACGUUACCAACAGAAUAAGCACCGGCUAACUUCGUG
RNAcentral lists this ribosomal RNA (484 nucleotides) under uncultured bacterium. RNAcentral describes it as "partial 16S ribosomal RNA". It matches the Rfam family "Bacterial small subunit ribosomal RNA", at positions 30 to 507 of the family's 1533-position model. The record is from RNAcentral.